UACGGAGGGGGCUAGCGUUGUUCGGAAUUACUGGGCGUAAAGCGCACGUAGGCGGCUGUUCAAGUCAGAGGUGAAAGCCUGGAGCUCAACUCCAGAACUGCCUUUGAAACUAGACAGCUAGAAUCAUGGAGAGGUGAGUGGAAUUCCGAGUGUAGAGGUGAAAUUCGUAGAGAUCCGGAGGAACACCAGUGGCGAAGGCGACACGCUGGGCCGUACCUGACACUGAUGCGCGACAGCAUGGGGAGCAAACAGG
RNAcentral lists this ribosomal RNA (253 nucleotides) under uncultured bacterium. Its description in RNAcentral is "partial 16S ribosomal RNA". It matches the Rfam family "Bacterial small subunit ribosomal RNA", at positions 524 to 776 of the family's 1533-position model. The record is from RNAcentral.